RNAcentral lists this unclassified non-coding RNA (362 nucleotides) under soil metagenome. RNAcentral's name for it is "partial contains 5.8S ribosomal RNA, internal transcribed spacer 2, and large subunit ribosomal RNA". The stretch from base 1 to 120 matches the Rfam family "5.8S ribosomal RNA", at positions 35 to 154 of the family's 154-position model. The record is from RNAcentral.
GAUGAAGAACGUAGUGAAAUGCGAUAAGUAAUGUGAAUUGCAGAAUUUAGUGAAUCAUCGAAUCUUUGAACGCAUAUUGCGCCCGCCAGCACUCUGGCGGGCAUGCCUGUUCGAGCGUCAUUUCAACCCUCAGGCCUCGCGUCUGGCGUUGGGGCGCUGCGGCCCUCCCGCAGGCCCCCAAAUUUAGCGGCGGAUUCCCCGCGGCCCUGAGCGCAGUAGAGAGUAAAAACUUUAACGCUCCGGCGGCCGUGGCGCGGUUCUGCCUCUUUCCCAAUAGCGCCAAUAGCGCCACCCCCAAAAAAGUUGACCUCGGAUCAGGUAGGACUACCCGCUGAACUUAAGCAUAUCAAUAAGCGGGAGGA